GUCAUGUCUUUGUGUGUCUUGAUUAAGGACAAUAAUGACAGCAUGGACCAACAUGCUGUCAUCACAAACGGAGAUGUUGGUAUCCUGAGUGAGGAUGCAUCUUUCCACAGGCUUGUGGUAAGGACAUGCAAAGGAUCAACAAACAACAAAUCUUAUUUAAUAUACUUAACCAGAAUAAUUAUUUUCAACAUCUGAAUGCUGUUUAAUCAAAUUUUAGGAAAGGGCUCAGCAAGCUGAACACCAAAGAAGAGUCACUAGUGACCUUCUCGUGAAGUUCAUCACUCAGGAUAAAGGCCUGCUGCAACAUCUUGAAGUGAGUUUGAAAAUGGAAUUUGAGUCACAUACUGUAACUAAUUUUGAUCAAAACAUGAUAAGUGAAUGAUUUAAGUGAAACAUUUUCUGUUAGCCUAGUGUUUCUACAUUUAUUUUGUGCAUCCUCCCAAAAAAAAAAUAUUUUUACAGGCGGUCAUCGCAGGAAAAGUUGCAUCCACCUGGGCAGCAUCAAAGGGCAGGGUAAUAAUUUUCUUUGAGGAGGAUGAGCAGCUGGACAGAGUGCUGGGCUUCUUGACAAGCCUGGCUGAAGCACAGACAUCCAGGUGUCACAAUCACGUGGCAUUCGUUAUGGAUGUGCUUCUGCCAGAGGCAACUGUCCACGCCCUUGCAGCUGUCCAUGCAUUUUCUAUUGACAGAGCCAUGGAAAUGUAUAAAUGUGGACUGCAGUAUGACUUGAGUGAGAAACAGCUGUUGGCUCAUUACAUGGAAAAAAACAUGAGCAAGGAGGCACUACAAAAACUACAAAAAUACGCUGAAAAACUCAGAAGAGCUCUUGACUCUGAGGAGUUUUUGAAGAGGCUGUAGAAUCCAU
Long non-coding RNA from Sparus aurata (gilthead seabream), 865 nucleotides. The record is from Ensembl. Lineage: Eukaryota; Metazoa; Chordata; Actinopteri; Spariformes; Sparidae.